Molecule: small RNA, 625 nt
Filed under: Pan troglodytes (chimpanzee)
Lineage: Eukaryota; Metazoa; Chordata; Mammalia; Primates; Hominidae
Description: processed transcript
Source: RNAcentral
UUUUGACUUUUUCAACUACGCGGGACUGCAGCGGUCUGUACUUCUGUACACGACACCCACCACCUACAUCGAUGACAUCACCGUCACCACCAGCGUGGAGCAAGACAGUGGGCUGGUGAAUUACCAGAUCUCUGUCAAGGGCAGUAACCUGUUCAAGUUGGAAGUGCGUCUUUUGGAUGCAGAAAACAAAGUCGUGGCGAAUGGGACUGGGACCCAGGGCCAACUUAAGGUGCCAGGUGUCAGCCUCUGGUGGCCGUACCUGAUGCACGAACGCCCUGCCUAUCUGUAUUCAUUGGAGAUCCGAGGGAAGGGCUUCGACUGGCCGCUGCUGGUGAAGGACUUCAACCUGCUUCGCUGGCUUGGUGCCAACGCUUUCCGUACCAGCCACUACCCCUAUGCAGAGGAAGUGAUGCAGAUGUGUGACCGCUAUGGGAUUGUGGUCAUCGAUGAGUGUCCCGGCGUGGGCCUGGCGCUGCCGCAGUUCUUCAACAACGUUUCUCUGCAUCACCACAUGCAGGUGAUGGAAGAAGUGGUGCGUAGGGACAAGAACCACCCCGCGGUCGUGAUGUGGUCUGUGGCCAACGAGCCUGCGUCCCACCUAGAAUCUGCUGGCUACUACUUGAAG